RNAcentral lists this ribosomal RNA (253 nucleotides) under uncultured bacterium. RNAcentral describes it as "partial 16S ribosomal RNA". It matches the Rfam family "Bacterial small subunit ribosomal RNA", at positions 524 to 776 of the family's 1533-position model. The record is from RNAcentral.
UACGUAGGGGGCAAGCGUUAUCCGGAUUUACUGGGUGUAAAGGGAGCGUAGACGGUUGUGCAAGCCUGAAGUGAAAGCCCGCGGCUCAACUGCGGAACGGCUUUGGAAACUGUGUAACUGGAGUGCUGGAGAGGUAAGCGGAAUUCCUGGUGUAGCGGUGAAAUGCGUAGAGAUCAGGAGGAACACCGGCGGCGAAGGCGGCUUACUGGACAGUAACUGACGUUGAGGCUCGAAAGCGUGGGGAGCAAACAGG